Molecule: ribosomal RNA, 645 nt
Filed under: uncultured bacterium
Lineage: Bacteria
Description: bacterial SSU rRNA
Rfam family: Bacterial small subunit ribosomal RNA
Source: RNAcentral
AGAGUUUGAUUCUGGCUCAGGAUGAACGCUGGCGGCAUGCCUAACACAUGCAAGUCGAACGGGGUUUAUAUGACAGAACUCUCCGGAGGGAAGAUAUAUAAACCUAGUGGCGGACGGGUGAGUAACGCGUGGGCAACCUGCCCUGUACCGGGGGACAACAGCCAGAAAUGGCUGCUAAUACCGCAUAAGCCUGCUGUGCCGCAUGGCACAGCAGGGAAAACCACGGUGGUACAGGAUGGGCCCGCGUCUGAUUAGUUAGUUGGCAGGGUAACGGCCUACCAAGACAACGAUCAGUAGCCGGCUUGAGAGAGUGGACGGCCACAUUGGGACUGAGACACGGCCCAGACUCCUGCGGGAGGCAGCAGUGGGGAAUAUUGCACAAUGGGGGGAACCCUGAUGCAGCAAUGCCGCGUGGGUGAAGAAGCACUCCGGUGCGUAAAGCCCUGUCAGCAGGGAAGAAAAUGACAGUACCUGGACAAGAAGCCCCGGCUAACUACGUGCCAGCAGCCGCGGUAAUACGUAGGGGGCAAGCGUUAUCCGGAUUUACUGGGUGUAAAGGGAGCGCAGGCGGCGUGGCAAGUCAGAUGUGAAAACCCGGGGCCCAACCCCGGGAGUGCAUUUGAAACUGCCAUGCUGGAAUGCCGG